This is a long non-coding RNA of Diabrotica virgifera virgifera (western corn rootworm), 655 nucleotides long. RefSeq lists it as uncharacterized. The transcript has 2 exons. The record is from RefSeq and is a predicted model, not a curated record. NCBI's taxonomy places the organism in Eukaryota, Metazoa, Arthropoda, Insecta, Coleoptera, Chrysomelidae.
UUUUGGAAAGAGGAACUCAUUAUGUGAUUGGCAUCGCUGAAGAGCAGUCAACGUUUUCGUGGAUAGUUAGAUAGCAAGUACCAGUGGGUGUUUUGAUAGUGGAGAAUAGAGCUGAAAAGUGGAACGAGAGACAGAUCAAAUUGAGACGAAAUACCUCUUUGAUUCUGUAUAGUUGUGAGAAGGAGAGGAGAUAAUUUUUUGGAGUUUGUGUUUUGUUGGAGAAUUGGUGCUGGUAUGUUGAUAGAUUUGAAGCUUGAGAACGGAGAGGGCUUUGAUGGGUAGCCUAACAUAGUCAACGAGGGAGAGCUGUUUUGGGUCAAGAGAAGACAUCAGAGUGAGUGAAGCAAAAGGUCAGUCAAUUUAUGUGAAAGAUAUUUUUAUGUUCGGAAACUAAAAUUUUGAGUAAAAGCAUAUGAAUUAAGAUUCCAAUAUUUCAAAAAGUAAAUAGGAAGUAUAGGUAGAUUUGCGAAUACCUAAAUUUGUUUGUUUAGCUUGUUUUAUCAAAGUCAUCGGGAACAAACCGAUAAAUUGUUAUUUUAACUAGAAUAAAUUUAAGUGGUAAAAAUUUCAUUCGGACAGCUGUGUCCACAGGUUUUAAAUUUGAUCGAUUUUUAGAGUAUUGAUUUUGAUAAUAAAAUUCUGUAUGCUUAUUUUA